Molecule: small nuclear RNA, 108 nt
Organism: Cervus hanglu yarkandensis (Yarkand deer)
Lineage: Eukaryota; Metazoa; Chordata; Mammalia; Artiodactyla; Cervidae
Source: Ensembl
GUGCUCACUUCGGCAGCACAUACACUAAAACUUGGAACGAUACUGAGAAGAUUAGUAUGGCCCCUGGACAAGGAUGAUAUGCAAAUUCCAGAAGUGUUCCAUAUUUUU